Molecule: transfer RNA, 75 nt
Filed under: Rhodoluna sp.
Lineage: Bacteria; Bacillati; Actinomycetota; Actinomycetes; Micrococcales; Microbacteriaceae
Also listed under: 3 other names
Description: tRNA-Arg
Rfam family: tRNA
About the family: Transfer RNA (tRNA) molecules are approximately 80 nucleotides in length. Their secondary structure includes four short double-helical elements and three loops (D, anti-codon, and T loops).
Source: RNAcentral
GCCCUCGUAGCUCAGUGGAUAGAGCAUUGGUUUCCUAAACCAUGUGCGGAAGUUCGAUUCUUCUCGGGGGCACCA